RNAcentral lists this ribosomal RNA (2923 nucleotides) under Klebsiella quasipneumoniae. RNAcentral's name for it is "23S ribosomal RNA". It matches the Rfam family "Bacterial large subunit ribosomal RNA". The record is from RNAcentral. Lineage: Bacteria; Pseudomonadati; Pseudomonadota; Gammaproteobacteria; Enterobacterales; Enterobacteriaceae.
GGGUUGUGAGGUUAAGCGACUAAGCGUACACGGUGGAUGCCCUGGCAGUCAGAGGCGAUGAAGGACGUGCUAAUCUGCGAAAAGCGUCGGUAAGGUGAUAUGAACCGUUAUAACCGGCGAUGUCCGAAUGGGGAAACCCAGUGCAAUUCGUUGCACUAUCGUUAGCUGAAUACAUAGGUUAACGAGGCGAACCGGGGGAACUGAAACAUCUAAGUACCCCGAGGAAAAGAAAUCAACCGAGAUUCCCCCAGUAGCGGCGAGCGAACGGGGAGCAGCCCAGAGUCUGAAUCAGCUUGUGUGUUAGUGGAACGGUCUGGAAAGUCCGACGGUACAGGGUGAUAGUCCCGUACACCAAAAUGCACAGGCUGUGAACUCGAAGAGUAGGGCGGGACACGUGGUAUCCUGUCUGAAUAUGGGGGGACCAUCCUCCAAGGCUAAAUACUCCUGACUGACCGAUAGUGAACCAGUACCGUGAGGGAAAGGCGAAAAGAACCCCGGCGAGGGGAGUGAAAAAGAACCUGAAACCGUGUACGUACAAGCAGUGGGAGCACCUUCGGGUGUGACUGCGUACCUUUUGUAUAAUGGGUCAGCGACUUAUAUUCUGUAGCAAGGUUAACCGUAUAGGGGAGCCGCAGGGAAACCGAGUCUUAACUGGGCGUUAAGUUGCAGGGUAUAGACCCGAAACCCGGUGAUCUAGCCAUGGGCAGGUUGAAGGUUGGGUAACACUAACUGGAGGACCGAACCGACUAAUGUUGAAAAAUUAGCGGAUGACUUGUGGCUGGGGGUGAAAGGCCAAUCAAACCGGGAGAUAGCUGGUUCUCCCCGAAAGCUAUUUAGGUAGCGCCUCGUGAACUCAUCUUCGGGGGUAGAGCACUGUUUCGGCUAGGGGGUCAUCCCGACUUACCAACCCGAUGCAAACUACGAAUACCGAAGAAUGUUAUCACGGGAGACACACGGCGGGUGCUAACGUCCGUCGUGAAGAGGGAAACAACCCAGACCGCCAGCUAAGGUCCCAAAGUCAUGGUUAAGUGGGAAACGAUGUGGGAAGGCACAGACAGCCAGGAUGUUGGCUUAGAAGCAGCCAUCAUUUAAAGAAAGCGUAAUAGCUCACUGGUCGAGUCGGCCUGCGCGGAAGAUGUAACGGGGCUAAACCAUGCACCGAAGCUGCGGCAGCGACACUAUGUGUUGUUGGGUAGGGGAGCGUUCUGUAAGCCUGCGAAGGUGACCUGUGAGGGUUGCUGGAGGUAUCAGAAGUGCGAAUGCUGACAUAAGUAACGAUAAAGCGGGUGAAAAGCCCGCUCGCCGGAAGACCAAGGGUUCCUGUCCAACGUUAAUCGGGGCAGGGUGAGUCGACCCCUAAGGCGAGGCCGAAAGGCGUAGUCGAUGGGAAACAGGUUAAUAUUCCUGUACUUGGUGUUACUGCGAAGGGGGGACGGAGAAGGCUAUGUUAGCCGGGCGACGGUUGUCCCGGUUUAAGCAUGUAGGCUGAUUAUCCAGGCAAAUCCGGAUAAUCAAGGCUGAGGUGUGAUGACGAGGCACUACGGUGCUGAAGUAACAAAUGCCCUGCUUCCAGGAAAAGCCUCUAAGCAUCAGGUAACAUCAAAUCGUACCCCAAACCGACACAGGUGGUCAGGUAGAGAAUACCAAGGCGCUUGAGAGAACUCGGGUGAAGGAACUAGGCAAAAUGGUGCCGUAACUUCGGGAGAAGGCACGCUGGUGUGUAGGUGAAGUCCCUGCGGAUGGAGCUGAGACCAGUCGAAGAUACCAGCUGGCUGCAACUGUUUAUUAAAAACACAGCACUGUGCAAACACGAAAGUGGACGUAUACGGUGUGACGCCUGCCCGGUGCCGGAAGGUUAAUUGAUGGGGUUAUCCGUAAGGAGAAGCUCUUGAUCGAAGCCCCGGUAAACGGCGGCCGUAACUAUAACGGUCCUAAGGUAGCGAAAUUCCUUGUCGGGUAAGUUCCGACCUGCACGAAUGGCGUAAUGAUGGCCAGGCUGUCUCCACCCGAGACUCAGUGAAAUUGAACUCGCUGUGAAGAUGCAGUGUACCCGCGGCAAGACGGAAAGACCCCGUGAACCUUUACUAUAGCUUGACACUGAACAUUGAGCCUUGAUGUGUAGGAUAGGUGGGAGGCUUUGAAGCGUGGACGCCAGUCUGCGUGGAGCCAACCUUGAAAUACCACCCUUUAAUGUUUGAUGUUCUAACGUGGGCCCCUGACCGGGGUUGCGGACAGUGUCUGGUGGGUAGUUUGACUGGGGCGGUCUCCUCCCAAAGCGUAACGGAGGAGCACGAAGGUUAGCUAAUCCUGGUCGGACAUCAGGAGGUUAGUGCAAUGGCAUAAGCUAGCUUGACUGCGAGCGUGACGGCGCGAGCAGGUGCGAAAGCAGGUCAUAGUGAUCCGGUGGUUCUGAAUGGAAGGGCCAUCGCUCAACGGAUAAAAGGUACUCCGGGGAUAACAGGCUGAUACCGCCCAAGAGUUCAUAUCGACGGCGGUGUUUGGCACCUCGAUGUCGGCUCAUCACAUCCUGGGGCUGAAGUAGGUCCCAAGGGUAUGGCUGUUCGCCAUUUAAAGUGGUACGCGAGCUGGGUUUAGAACGUCGUGAGACAGUUCGGUCCCUAUCUGCCGUGGGCGCUGGAGAAUUGAGGGGGGCUGCUCCUAGUACGAGAGGACCGGAGUGGACGCAUCACUGGUGUUCGGGUUGUCAUGCCAAUGGCACUGCCCGGUAGCUAAAUGCGGAAGAGAUAAGUGCUGAAAGCAUCUAAGCACGAAACUUGCCCCGAGAUGAGUUCUCCCUGAGACUAUAAGUCUCCUGAAGGAACGUUGAAGACGACGACGUUGAUAGGCCGGGUGUGUAAGCGCAGCGAUGCGUUGAGCUAACCGGUACUAAUGAACCGUGAGGCUUAACCUUACAACGCCGAAG